RNAcentral lists this ribosomal RNA (253 nucleotides) under uncultured bacterium. RNAcentral's name for it is "partial 16S ribosomal RNA". It matches the Rfam family "Bacterial small subunit ribosomal RNA", at positions 524 to 776 of the family's 1533-position model. The record is from RNAcentral.
UACGUAGGGAGCAAGCGUUGUCCGGAAUCAUUGGGCGUAAAGCGCGCGUAGGCGGCCCGAUAAGUCCGCUGUAAAAGUCAACGGCUCAACUGUUGAAAGCCGGUGGAUACUGUCGGGCUAGAGUACGGAAGAGGCAAGUGGAAUUCCUGGUGUAGCGGUGGAAUGCGCAGAUAUCAGGAGGAACACCGAUGGCGAAGGCAGCCCCCUGGGAUGUGACUGACGCUCAUGUACGAAAGCGUGGGGAGCAAACAGG